GUGGACCGCAAUGUCAAAAUUGCUGUUCGGCCAUUGCUCGUGAAAAAACAAAUUUGUUUACAAAGCAAAUCAUAUCUUUUGGUGACAAAUGCAUUCGUUGGCAAAAUAGCUGCUCGCGCUUCACUGUAGGCAGAUAUCUACAAUCAGCGGUCGAAUUAAAAACAGUGCAGAAGGAUGUUUUGAGUAUAUUUUACCUUCUAGCCGCGCAAUCAAUGCUUUUCUUUCCAAGCAAGCAGCGUUUUUCGGCAAAAGCAUGAAAUAGAAUCGUACGUGGUACGAAUUUAUCGGCACAAUCUGAUCAAGGACGGAGGCAUCACCAAACGGAAACUAC
This is a long non-coding RNA of Toxorhynchites rutilus septentrionalis, 331 nucleotides long. RefSeq lists it as uncharacterized. The record is from RefSeq and is a predicted model, not a curated record. The transcript is spliced from 3 exons. Lineage: Eukaryota; Metazoa; Arthropoda; Insecta; Diptera; Culicidae.